GCGGUGGAGCAUGUGGCUUAAUUCGAGGCAACGCGAAGAACCUUACCUGGGUUUGACAUAUAGGUUGUAGGGAACUGAAAAGGGACCGACCCUUCGGGGAGCCUAUACAGGUGUUGCAUGGCUGUCGUCAGCUCGUGUCGUGAGAUGUUCGGUUAAGUCCGCUAACGAGCGCAACCCUCGUCGUAUGUUAUAUGUGUCAUACGAGACUGCCGGUAAAAGCCGGAGGAAGGUGAGGAUGAUGUCAAGUCAGCAUGACCUUUAUAUCCAGGGCUACACACACGCUACAAUGGUCUGUACAAUGGGUAGCCAAGCCGCGAGGCGGAGCCAAUCCUGAAAGCAGGCCUCAGUUCAGAUUGCAGUCUGCAACUCGACUGCAUGAAGCCGGAGUUGCUAGUAACCGCAGGUCAGCAAUACUGCGGUGAAUACGUUCCCGGGUCUU
This 439-nucleotide ribosomal RNA is filed under the name uncultured Anaerolineaceae bacterium. Its description in RNAcentral is "bacterial SSU rRNA". It matches the Rfam family "Bacterial small subunit ribosomal RNA", at positions 929 to 1382 of the family's 1533-position model. The record is from RNAcentral. Lineage: Bacteria; Bacillati; Chloroflexota; Anaerolineae; Anaerolineales; Anaerolineaceae.